UUGCAGAUGAAUGAAUACUGGUGACAGAGUUACGGAAGUCAGGCAGGUGACAGGGUGCUCGACAUCGGUAGGGCCAUCAUGAUGACCGACAGACCAUGAGGUGAUAGAUCCACACUCGUGACCAAUCUGCAGGCAUCAGUGGUUCUAGGCUGGUGGGAGAAGACAACCAAUCAGGCCCAUAACUGCUGCGAUAUCCCACUCUAGCGUGGUCUAAUUAUGAAUCAUAUACAUUCAUGUUUUACAGCGACCAAUAGAUUUUAAUCUCGAUCAUGCCGAAGUGGGGCGUGGCAGUGGUCUACCACUCAACUACCUACCUACAUUUGUGAUGACGGGAUCGGUCCUGCUGCCAUCCUGUCAAGCCCAUUCGAGUGACAAGCCGGAGGUGAUGAGCAGGACAACAAUAUGACGUGAAGAAUCCCCCAACAUCUGCUAGCUCCAUCCCAAGCAUAGAGCAUCCUUAGUAUAGACCAUUUGGGUGCCUGGACCUGAACUUGUAGUAUGUUUAAAAUGGUGCAUUUCUUGUGAAUCGAUAUCUAACUAAUUAUCUGUUGUUCUGAACUAUUGAUAUCUGCCUGCAGCUCCACGAUCACAUUAGAGUGCAUUGGUCUAAACAAAACAAGCUUGACUUCUAUUUGCAUUAUGGAAGACAUUCAUCUAAGCUGUUAGAUAAUGGUGAAGGAAGUGUUAAAAAAUCUUGUUAGUGUAAUGGUUCAUGUAUUUCCGAGACA
Molecule: long non-coding RNA, 728 nt
Organism: Panicum virgatum (switchgrass)
Lineage: Eukaryota; Viridiplantae; Streptophyta; Magnoliopsida; Poales; Poaceae
Exons: 3
Source: RefSeq, a predicted model, not a curated record